UUCUAGUGUAGAGGUGAAAUUCGUAGAUAUUAGAAAGAAUACCAAUUGCGAAGGCAGCUUUCUGGAUCAUUACUGACACUGAGGAACGAAAGCAUGGGUAGCGAAGAGGAUUAGAUACCCUCGUAGUCCAUGCCGUAAACGAUGUGUGUUAGACGUUGGAAAUUUAUUUUCAGUGUCGCAGGGAAACCGAUAAACACACCGCCUGGGGAGUACGACCGCAAGGUUAAAACUCAAAUGAAUUGACGGGGACCCGCACAAGUAGUGGAGCAUGUGGUUUAAUUCGAAGAUACGCGCAGAACCUUACCAACACUUGACAUGUUCGUCGCGACUCUAAGAGAUUAGAGUUUUCGGUUCGGCCGGACGAAACACAGGUGCUGCAUGGCUGUCGUCAGCUCGUGUCGUGAGAUGUUGGGUUAAGUCCCGCAACGAGCGCAACCCUCACUUUUAGUUGCCAUCAUUAAGUUGGGCACUCUGAAAGAACUGCCAGUGAUAAGCUGGAGGAAGGUGGGGAUGACGUCAAGUCCUCAUGGCCCUUACGUGUUGGGCUACACACGUGCUACAAUGGUAUCUACAACAGGAAGCAAGACUGCGAAGUUAAGCAAAUCCCUAAAAGAUACCUCAGUUCGGAUUGCACUCUGCAACUCGAGUGCAUGAAGCUGGAAUUACUAGUAAUCGUGGAUCAGCGUGCCACGGUGAAUGCGUUCCCGGGUCUUGUACACACCGCCCGUCACACCAUGGGAGUUGGUUCUACCUUAAGGCAAGGUUUCAAACCCUUGACCACGGUAUAGUCAGCGACUGGGGGG
Molecule: ribosomal RNA, 803 nt
Filed under: uncultured Alphaproteobacteria bacterium
Lineage: Bacteria; Pseudomonadati; Pseudomonadota; Alphaproteobacteria
Description: bacterial SSU rRNA
Rfam family: Bacterial small subunit ribosomal RNA
Source: RNAcentral